Molecule: small nucleolar RNA, 110 nt
Organism: Zingiber officinale
Lineage: Eukaryota; Viridiplantae; Streptophyta; Magnoliopsida; Zingiberales; Zingiberaceae
Source: RefSeq, a predicted model, not a curated record
UUCCCAUGGUGAGGGCAUUGCUAAAGUAAGCUCUUGAAAUGAUUCUAAGAUUCAAACAAAGACUCCCUAUCCUUUUGCAUAAAAUUGAUGAUCAGAUGUCUCAUGAGGGA